UGUUGCUUCUGUGGAUAUGGUAUCUCAGCCAUUCAUCUAUUCUUGUUAUUUGGAAUUCAGAGUUCUGGAUGUUCAGUACCGGGGCCUUCCAGACUUCUCACGUCCAAUUACAGAGCAAAAGUAGGUGUUACGGGGUCUCCACAUGCACUCGGCAGAUUGGGCAUAGAGGGUCAGGUACCAUUUUCCUUUUGUAUAGAUUCUCCUUAGUCGGGAGAGCAUUUUGACAAACAGACCAGAUGAAGUGUCUGAUUUUGUGGGGGGUUUUUAAUUUCCAGAUUCUGUUCCAAAGUUGAGUUGGGGGUUGAUGAGAGGAAGAGGCGGUUUGAGCUUCUGUUGUUUCUUUUGUGCGUAGGGUGUUGUAUCCGCUCUUUACCGUGUACUCUCCUUCCCGCGUACCUGACCAGAUCAGUUUAUCUUCAUUAGUCUGUGGUCUAAUUGGUAUGGUAAGGAUCUCGCGCACCCCCUGUUCUUGACAUAGUCUUCGCAGGGUCUGUUCUUUCCAGGUGUUUGCCUCUUGAUCCACCAGUUCAUACACCAUAGUUGGGUCUCCUUCAUUAGCCUGUCCCCCUAAAAUUCCUCUUUUGAGCCAUUUAUCCUCCCUGAUGUUGAUUUGUUGACCAUUACCAACUAACCACAUGACCGAGUCUUCAAUAGCCUUUCUCCCUAUAAGUAUGCUCUGCCAUCCCCAAGAUGGUCUGGAUCCCUUUUCUGCCUUCCAGAAGCUCUUAGUUGGGUAAUACAAGCCUUUAAGGACCUAACUAGACAGAGAAGUCUGGUUUUUAGCUAGUAGCCAAGCCUAUUUACCGAGCAUGGCUUUGUUGAAAGCUAUUAGGUCCCUAAAUCCUAGGCCUCCCCUGUCCUUCCUCUGUUUUAGCACUGCGGCCUUCCUCCAAUGUACUCCUUUUGUUGUUGAUUGGUUCUUCCACCAGAAGGCUGUAAUUUUUUGCUCAAUGGCCCGACCAACUGAGAGUGGGAUCUUGAAGAUUGACAUGGCAUAUUGAGUAGUGUUGAAAGAACUGGCCAUUCAUUCCAUCCGGACCCGGGGCCUUGGAGGAUCCAAUUUGGAAGGUUGCUUGUUUAACCUCUUCCAUCGUUACUUCUUCAAGCAGCUUCAGGUUAGUUUCAUUUUUCACCCUACAAGAACAGUGCUGAAGAAUUGGGUCAAAAUGUCGAUGUCCCACUGAGGUAUAUAGUUCUUUAAAGAAAUUUUCAGUCAUCCUCUUUAGUUGUUCUU
Long non-coding RNA from Syzygium oleosum, 1234 nucleotides. RefSeq lists it as uncharacterized. The transcript is spliced from 2 exons. The record is from RefSeq and is a predicted model, not a curated record. NCBI's taxonomy places the organism in Eukaryota, Viridiplantae, Streptophyta, Magnoliopsida, Myrtales, Myrtaceae.